This 29-nucleotide non-coding RNA is filed under the name Rattus norvegicus (Norway rat). The record is from RNAcentral. Lineage: Eukaryota; Metazoa; Chordata; Mammalia; Rodentia; Muridae.
UAAAACAGAACAGAAGCCCCUGCCUCAGC